Molecule: ribosomal RNA, 278 nt
Filed under: uncultured bacterium
Lineage: Bacteria
Description: partial 16S ribosomal RNA
Rfam family: Bacterial small subunit ribosomal RNA
Source: RNAcentral
UGCCAGCAGCCGCGGUAAUACGGAGGGUGCGAGCGUUAAUCGGAAUUACUGGGCGUAAAGAGCACGUAGGCGGUUGUGUAAGUUGGAUGUGAAAGUCCCGGGCUUAACCUGGGAAAGCCAUUUGAUACUGCACGACUGGAAUACAAGAGAGGUAAGUGGAAUUUCCGGUGUAGCGGUGAAAUGCGUAGAGAUCGGAAGGAACACCAGUGGCGAAGGCGGCUUACUGGCUUGAUAUUGACGCUGAGGUGCGAAGGCAUGGGUAGCGAACAGGAUUAGAU